UGAUUAGCAAGUCGGUCAGAAACGCAAGAACCUAGUUAGCAAGUUGGCCAGACGCAAGUACUAAGUAAGAAAUUUGAUCUACACGGUCAAGAAAGGGAUCAUCCGAUCACAAGCAAGAUAGGCAAGAAAAGCAAGGCGAGAAAGAAAGGAGGCAUGACAGAAAAAGAAGGAAGUGCAUCAACGUCACUCCACGAGCAAGGGAAUUUAUGAUGGAAACAAUCUUGAAGGCAUAUAGUCUUUGGGAAACAGUUGUUUCAACGGAAGGGAUAAACGAAAAGAAGGCGCACACAACGAAAGCACUUAUCUUCCAAACGUUACCGGAAGAUGUUUUGAUGCAAGUUGCGCAAUACGAAAAAGCAAAGGAAGUAUGGGAUGCAAUCAAAGUUCGUUAUCUCGGAGCAGAUAUGGUUCAGAAAGCACGUCUACAAACUUUGAGGAGCGAACCGGAAGUUUUAAAGAUGGAUGAGAACGAAACAGUAAGUAGUUACGCAAGCAAGUUGAGUGGUAUAAAAGCCAAAUUUAA
RNAcentral lists this long non-coding RNA (523 nucleotides) under Helianthus annuus (common sunflower). RNAcentral describes it as "hypothetical non coding rna". The record is from RNAcentral. Lineage: Eukaryota; Viridiplantae; Streptophyta; Magnoliopsida; Asterales; Asteraceae.